RNAcentral lists this ribosomal RNA (476 nucleotides) under Fusarium oxysporum. RNAcentral describes it as "eukaryotic LSU rRNA". The stretch from base 149 to 303 matches the Rfam family "5.8S ribosomal RNA". The record is from RNAcentral. Lineage: Eukaryota; Fungi; Ascomycota; Sordariomycetes; Hypocreales; Nectriaceae.
AAGCUGGAGCGACCCCUAAUACCCCUUGGUGAACAUACACUUGUUGCUCGGCGGAUCAGCCCGCUCCCGGUAAAACGGGACGGCCCGCCAGAGGACCCUAAACUCUGUUUCUAUAUGUAACUUCUGAGUAAAACCAUAAAUAAAUCAAAACUUUCAACAACGGAUCUCUUGGUUCUGGCAUCGAUGAAGAACGCAGCAAAAUGCGAUAAGUAAUGUGAAUUGCAAGAAUUCAGUGAAUCAUCGAAUCUUUGAACGCACAUUGCGCCCGCCAGUAUUCUGGCGGGCAUGCCUGUUCGAGCGUCAUUUCAACCCUCAAGCACAGCUUGGUGUUGGGACUCGCGUUAAUUCGCGUUCCUCAAAUUGAUUGGCGGUCACGUCGAGCUUCCAUAGCGUAGUAGUAAAACCCUCGUUACUGGUAAUCGUCGCGGCCACGCCGUUAAACCCCAAAUUCUGAAUGUUGACCUCGGAUCAGGUAG